This 2676-nucleotide long non-coding RNA is filed under the name Pan troglodytes (chimpanzee). RNAcentral describes it as "long non-coding RNA NONPTRT001696". Lineage: Eukaryota; Metazoa; Chordata; Mammalia; Primates; Hominidae. The record is from RNAcentral.
UGACAAUCAGAGAGGAGGAAUGAGCUCUGGUUUUCUCCUGCACAGUGGGGUGACUGUUUUCCAAUACUGUAUUGCAUAUUUCAAAAUAGCUAGAAGAGAAGAUUUGAAUGUUCUCACCACAAAGAAAUGAUACAUCUGGGGUGACAGCCAUGCGAACUAUCCUGAUUUGAUCAUUUUACAUCAAGGCCACUUUUAUUGGGACCCGAACCAAGCCCCGAGGUUUGAGACCUGGUCGCCGGAAUACCUUGUGCUGGGCAAGUUCCCCGGGGUUCUUCUCAUUCGGUCUCUUCAGUUCCGUCCAAUCCAGAAACUUCUCUUUGAACAAAAUCGUCUCAUUGUGUUCAAUCCAUCUUCGGUUGUGAAUCCGGCCCGGGAUGCAGCCACCCCUUAGAGCAACCCCCCCUGCUGCUCGUGCCCUGCUGUGCUACUGCCUCAGUCACUUCCUGCUUGGUCAAGACCACAGCUGCUGAUGUCACAGCUGAGGCACAUCAAAAAGGCUGCCUGAUUCAAAGAAAGCUGCCGGAUAAAUCAUAGAACACAGACACUUCUACCUCAUGCUCUUAUGGGACUUUAGGAACCAAACAUAAGCACCUAUGGAAAAUGCACGGCGGUCUUGAAAGGCUGUGGUCUUUCAAGAAAAUAUCUGAAUGACUGUCUGUCAGUCCUACUCUGCAGGCUUGCUAAGAUGAUGAUUGAAAGGGCUCUUGGUUUCUGCUUUGGAAUCUGGCAUUUAUGUUUUGAAGCGUUGUGAGCAAGCGAUGUGGCAGAUUGCAGGGUGAGGGGGACAAACCUGGGCCAGGAGCCAGGGGUUUCUCUACCCCCUUCCCUGACUUACAGCUGGAACUGGGCUCAGUGGUUUCAGCCUCUUUUGCUAAGAAGGUCUGGGUAUGUAAUCCUGGCUGCACCUUAAAAUCCCUGGGAGCUUUUAAGACAUAUUGACACAUAAGCUCUAACUCACAUGAAACGAAAACACAUCUCUGGGGCAGGGCUGAGCAAAUGCAUUUUUUAAAAGGCCCCUCAGGUGAUUCUGUCUCAGAGAUGUUGAAAACCAGUGGGUUAGGAGCUCAGUCAUCCACUUUCAGAUCUGUGAUUAUGCCACUAUUAAAUACAGUUGGCUAUCACAUAGAUUUUAUGCUUUAGCUUGUUCUUUUUUCCUUUGCUAUACCAAAUAAAAUCUUUUGAGCUGUAGUUCCAGUCCUUAAAAUAAUGGUUGUUACCAUACUGAGGUUAAACAUUAGUGCAUUUGCUUAACAAGGACUUUAAAACUUAUCACACUGCCAUAAUUUUUAAUGGUUUCUAUAAUGAUUAAUUAAUAAGAAAAUCAAUAAUUGGAUUUUAAGCAGGAAACUAGGCAGGAAAGUUGAAAUUCAUAGACCAAUUCAAUGGAAAACAUUAAAAUGUAUUGGGAGAUGCCCAAUAUUCUAUGCUGUUUGGUGGUUCACUGGUUUCUAAUCUAUUAUAACGGCACCCAUAGUUAAAAAGCACUAGUUUUUUUUUGGUCUGAUAGUUGAAAAAACAACAAUCCUUUGCACGUGGGAAUUCUUUUUUCCAAAAUCAUAAUUUCUGACUUUGCACAUAUUCUAUUGAAUUGCCAAAAUGACUUUAAAGAGUCUAGUACAUGCAGGGAAUAUUACAAUUGCAAUCAUUAUUUUAACACCAUCUCCUCCCCCUCUUCCCUUCCCAAAAGAUAUAAAGACAUAAACAUCAUCUGCUGCCAAAUAAAUCCUGAAAUUCGAGGGCGAUGCUGGGAAGGUAUGAAAUUAGAGGGAGGCAUGUUGCUUUUGCACUUUCAGAUCAAUGGCUGAAUUCCAGACCCGAGGAAGCCUUUCAGAUCCGCAUGUAAUUUGUUUAAACAAUUGCUGUUCAUCUGCCACAGCAGCACUUGGAAUGCCGCAGGGAGGAACUUGCAGCAUUUCUUGCUCACUUCAAGAAAUCAACUAUAACAAACCUCUUCCAGAAGACUACGACAUCCAUAUUUCUGCAAUAGUUAGAUAAAAGUUAAAGAACUGUUCCUUUUGUGAAUAUUCACAGUCCACUGCAUAUAAUCGUUUAUGAAAACUGAACCCUAUAAAGAGCGAGAGUAGAGGACUGUGGUGAGAACAGAGGGAUCGAAGGGAAUCAGCUCGCUUGAAGAGCUGUCCCCGGGCGGCGGCAGGAGUACCUGGGGAUAAGCGGAUUGCAUUCUCCAGGAUCCAGGGGAUUGAUGUCACAGUUCUCAUAGUCAAAGGUUCCAUUCCAUAAGUGCUUUGCCAGCUGAAAUGCUAUUUUUCGUUGUGCUAAUGUGACUUCUUUCCCAUGCCAUACGUAAACUUCACUACCAAAAUCAAACACCAGUACCUGGGAGAAAUGGCACAAAAGAAUUUGUUAACUUCAUGAACAUGCAACAGUUGAAUCAGGUGCAACAGGGUCUCUUGUUGACAGUGAGUCAAACGGAGGAAGACAGAAAUCCUAAUGGGGCGACAAACACAGACACAAAAAGGCCAGGAGAUCUCAGCUGGCACUGCCCCACCAAGCCAGCCUCUGCCCUGCGGGCACGAUUCCUCCUCCCAGUGUCCUAAGUGGCCAGGAUAAUGUUCCCUCCUCUGAACUCUCAACCUGCUUACAACUUGCGAUUCACAAGAGUUCUUUAGGUACAUCUUCCUGUCGACUUCCUGCCUCUCUCCCCUAUUCCUCCCC